This 1103-nucleotide long non-coding RNA is filed under the name Struthio camelus australis. RNAcentral's name for it is "lncRNA (ENSSCUG00000008865.1)". The record is from RNAcentral. Lineage: Eukaryota; Metazoa; Chordata; Aves; Struthioniformes; Struthionidae.
CCAUGUUCAGAAAUCUCUCCCCAACAAAGAAUGGAUAUUUAGGUAAAUAAACAUUUCUAAAUAUACUUCUGAAUAUCUCUUCAGCUUCUAGAUGUUUACUUUGAAGCUUACCAACAUGCUAUAGACCCAGAAGAAAGAUUUGCUUUGGCCCAAACAAUAGUUGACGUCAUGCAUAAACGUCCACGAUUUGAUCUCAAGCUUGGAUAUUUUGUGGAUACCUACAGAGAUGAAUGCAUCUGUUUACAGCUUCACCUCCAGCUGCUGAGGGGCAUAGUAAACCAACAAUCCUACUUCAAAGAACAUUUACUUGCUGGAGUUUCACCCUUCUCUUGGUCUGGUGUGCUUGAUCCCCAAAGCUGUUGAGCAUAUCUACCAGGAAUUCUGCAACAUCCUUAGACCGAAAACAGCCAGUGAAGCAAGUAAUCUAGAAAAACAAGUACUUCAGCUAGCAGUGGAUGAGUGGCUAACUAUGGAAAAAGCAGAGUCUUUUUACAGCUCUCAGAUUCAAAAAGAUUUAUUUGCAGAGGUACUGAUAGAAGACCCUGUGCUGGUGCAAGAGAUUGCUUUGUCACUGUUAGAGCUGAGAGCAGAUGAAGAAAAAAAGGAAAGCAGAGAAAAACAAUUCUUUCUCCUCGAUUCCUUUUCCAUGAUCCUAGAGCUUGUGACGCUUCGCCAUCGGUUGAUAGAGGUGGCAACGGAGAGCGCGCAGUUAGCCAGGUUAUACAAAGCUUUUGCAAGGGAAAUGGGUUUUGGUGAGUUCCAUUUGUAUCUGAGGCCAGUGCACUUUGAAUUUGCAUCUUACAAGGAGAAAGCAGACCACAUCCCACCAAUAUUCAUUACAUCCCUCCUGGAAGAUGACAGCUGUGUUGACAGAUAUAUUCCAUCUAACUUACAAUUAGGCAUCCAAGAAAUCGACAGUCAUAUUGGAAAGUUUAGCUUCCGUACAAGAGAUGGUGUUAUGCAGCUCUUGUCCCCGUCUGGAAUAAAGAACAUGCAGCUUAUCCUUGCCUGUCAGGUCAUUCAGAAAAAUGCUCUUUUGGUGGCUGUUCAGCAAGCUUCCUUUUGUUACCUGGUCCAGCCUACCCAUGCCCGGGACACAAAGG